Molecule: transfer RNA, 87 nt
Filed under: Streptomyces filipinensis
Lineage: Bacteria; Bacillati; Actinomycetota; Actinomycetes; Kitasatosporales; Streptomycetaceae
Description: tRNA-Ser
Source: RNAcentral
UCGAUCGUGGGGUGCUGGAAAAGCUCGACCAUGCUCAGGUCGUGGCCGAGCGCGGCGGCCAGCCGGGUCCGGAACUCGGCCAUCAGC